AUGGCAUGAUGGGGGCAUUUUCUAAUGAGAUCCUUUAUUCUCUCCCAUGACUCAUGGAACUACUCACCAUCUUGAUGUGAGAAGCUAGUGAGAGCUCGCCUGAUCUG
Molecule: small nucleolar RNA, 107 nt
Organism: Cephalotus follicularis
Lineage: Eukaryota; Viridiplantae; Streptophyta; Magnoliopsida; Oxalidales; Cephalotaceae
Rfam family: Plant small nucleolar RNA R71
About the family: R71 is a member of the C/D box family of snoRNAs containing the C (UGAUGA) and D (CUGA) box motifs.
Source: Rfam